This is a non-coding RNA of Podarcis lilfordi (Lilford's wall lizard), 83 nucleotides long. NCBI's taxonomy places the organism in Eukaryota, Metazoa, Chordata, Lepidosauria, Squamata, Lacertidae. The record is from the annotation of a GenBank genome assembly.
CCAUGUAUAGUUCAGCUGGUUGAGUAUGAGACUCUUAAUUUCAGGGUCAUGGGUUCAGGCAAAAGACCCAUGCAUUGCAGGGG